Molecule: transfer RNA, 92 nt
Filed under: Ipomoea nil (Japanese morning glory)
Lineage: Eukaryota; Viridiplantae; Streptophyta; Magnoliopsida; Solanales; Convolvulaceae
Rfam family: tRNA
About the family: Transfer RNA (tRNA) molecules are approximately 80 nucleotides in length. Their secondary structure includes four short double-helical elements and three loops (D, anti-codon, and T loops).
Source: Rfam by way of RNAcentral
CCGACCUUAGCUCAGUUGGUAGAGCGGAGGAUGUAGUUGAUUAAUCUAAAUUGGAAAUCCUUAGGUCGCUGGUUCGAAUCCGGCAGGUCGGA